Molecule: ribosomal RNA, 478 nt
Filed under: uncultured bacterium
Lineage: Bacteria
Description: partial 16S ribosomal RNA
Rfam family: Bacterial small subunit ribosomal RNA
Source: RNAcentral
GACGAACGCUGGCGGCGUGCUUAACACAUGCAAGUCGAACGGUAAGGCCCUUCGGGGUACACGAGUGGCGAACGGGUGAGUAACACGUGGGUGAUCUGCCCUGCACUUCGGGGUAAGCCUGGGAAACUGGGCCUAAUACCGGAUAGGACCACUGCCUGCAUGGGUGGUGGUGGAAAGCUUUUGCGGUGUGGGAUGGGCCCGCGGCCUAUCAGCUUGUUGGUGGGGUGAUGGCCUACCAAGGCGACGACGGGUAGCCGGCCUGAGAGGGUGACCGGCCACACUGGGACUGAGAUACGGCCCAGACUCCUACGGGAGGCAGCAGUGGGGAAUAUUGCACAAUGGGCGCAAGCCUGAUGCAGCGACGCCGCGUGAGGGAUGACGGCCUUCGGGUUGUAAACCUCUUUCAGCACCGACGAAGCGCAAGUGACGGUAGGUGCAGAAGAAGGACCGGCCAACUACGUGCCAGCAGCCGCCGUAA